RNAcentral lists this ribosomal RNA (253 nucleotides) under uncultured bacterium. Its description in RNAcentral is "partial 16S ribosomal RNA". It matches the Rfam family "Bacterial small subunit ribosomal RNA", at positions 524 to 776 of the family's 1533-position model. The record is from RNAcentral.
UACAGAGGGUGCAAGCGUUGUUCGGAAUUACUGGGCGUAAAGCGCGUGUAGGCGGUUUAGUAAGUUCUGUGUGAAAGCCCUGGGCUCAACCCAGGAAGUGCGCAGAAUACUGCUUGACUGGAGUGACGGAGAGGAUGGCGGAAUUCCCGGUGUAGAGGUGAAAUUCGUAGAUAUCGAGAGGAACACCGGUGGCGAAGGCGGCAUCCUGGACCGACAUUGACGCUGAACGGCGAAAGCUAGGGGAGCAAACGGG